Coffea arabica (coffee) is the source of this 107-nucleotide non-coding RNA. The record is from RefSeq and is a predicted model, not a curated record. Lineage: Eukaryota; Viridiplantae; Streptophyta; Magnoliopsida; Gentianales; Rubiaceae.
AUUUGGUGAUGGGGGCACUUGAUGCAUAAUUUCUUAAACUGCUCCCAGUAGUCAUAAUGUGACUCCCCUGGGUGCUGCUUGAUACCACAGAUCUCCUUUCUUAGACU